Long non-coding RNA from Bos taurus (domestic cattle), 2889 nucleotides. NCBI's taxonomy places the organism in Eukaryota, Metazoa, Chordata, Mammalia, Artiodactyla, Bovidae. The record is from Ensembl.
CUUUCCCUUCUGGUUUCCUCAGUGUGUAUGCCCAACAGUGGGAUUGCUGGAUCAUAAGGCAGUUCUAUUUCCAGUUUUUUAAGGAAUCUCCACACUGUUCUCCAUAGUGGCUGUACUAGUUUGUAUUCCCACCAACAGUGUAAGAGGGUUCCCUUUUCUCCACACCCUCUCCAGCAUUUAUUGCUUGUAGACUUUUGGAUUGCAGCCAUUCUGACUGGCGUGAAAUGGUACCUCAUAGUGGUUUUGAUUUGCAUUUCUCUAAUAAUGAGUGAUGUUGAGCAUUUUUUCAUGUGUUUGUUAGCCAUCUGUAUGUCUUCUUUGGAGAAAUGUCUAUUUUGUUCUUUGGCCCAUUUUUUGAUUGUGUCAUUUAUUUUUCUGGAGUUGAGCUGUAGGAGUUGCUUGUAUAUUUUUGAGAUUAGUUGUUUGUCAGUUGCUUCAUUUGCUAUUAUUUUCUCCCAUUCUGAAGGCUGCCUUUUCACCUUGCUAAUAGUUUCCUUUGAUGUGCAGAAGCUUUUAAGUUUAAUUAGGUUCCCUUAAACUUGGGUAUGAUGUCCCAUCUGUAGGGGCAACAAUGCAAGCCUCCUCCCCAUGGCCCUGCAACCUGUCCUUCUCCUGGGCAACAGAAGUGCUCUCUGCUCAGUGCCACCCAUGCCAGCAAGAAUACCUGGAAAAGCAGAAGUCACAUCUGAAACAGGCUUCUUUUCCCAACUGGAACAAGAAUUGUCUCCCAACCACCCCACAGACACUGCCACCAUGCACACCAUCUCCUCUUCUUCACCGCUUCUACAGACUUCUCCCUCCAAAGGCUGGGAGUCACCAAGGCUUGAAGACAAAAGUUUUACUACCCCUUAUUUUGCAGAAGCUCCAGUUCUUAAGGAACAAACUAAGGAUGGUUGACAAAGGUUCUUUUCAAAUGACUUAGAACUACCUAGACUCUACAGAUACCUCUUCUUCUAACAUAUAUGUCCUUGGUGAAACCAUUGAAGUUGGACCUGACACAUCGGUCCUUCUCCUACCCUUCUCCUCAACCCUUCUCCCUUAUCAAUGUGAAGAAGAGCUGACCCCUCCCUCUGAACUUUUCCUCUCUAUUCCUUUGAUGAAAACAUGUAUUGCUGAGAGACCCUAGACAGUCCUCACUUGCUAGAGGUGCGGGAUGCUAUGUCCAGAAGGAGUAAGGUGGUACCCAGUAUGGGGAAUGGAUAAAUCCUUGGAGGGGUAACUCUAAGGGCAGAACAGGAGCCACAAGGAGUAGGAGUGUGUUUGAGGAUGAGAGACUGAGUGGUGUUGAAUUCCUGUCCAAGAGCAUCUGUCCCGACUGCCUGCUUUCCAUACCCCACCCAGUCCAUCAUUGUCACGCUUGCCAUUCGAGGGGUACACUGCAGAUGAAAGAAGUGAGUGUCACCAGGAAAGCAGUAGCACCAGGGCUGCAAAGAGGGCUAACAGGGAGGGACUUGUGCUUUCCUUCUGGGGCCACUUAGGCCAUAGCAGACAUUAGAGAGAGGCUUGUGCUGUGCUGUGUGUUGUGUGAAGUUGCUUCAGUCAUGUCUGACUCUGCGACCCUAUGGACUGUGGCCCGCCAGGCUCCUCUGUCCAUGGGAUUCUCCAGGCAAGAAUACUGGAAUGGGUUGCCAUGACUUCCUCCAGGGGAUUUUCCCUACCCAGGGAUCAAACCCACAUCUCUCACACCUCCUGCAUUGCCAGGCAGGUUCUUUAUCACUACCAGUACCUGAAAGACCCCCAGAGAGAGGCUCACUGAUAGCUUUUUAGUCACUUAUGUGAGCAGUCCUUCUGAGCAUCAGUUUAGUUUGAUACUUACUAAGUUCUUAUUAUAUGCCAGAUUCAGUGUUCCCUUCUGAAACGUCAAAGUAUUUCUGCAUAAUUCUAACAAUAGCAGGGAUAGCCUUGGCACUAGAAGAGCCGUUCAUUUAUUGCACUGUCACGUGUUAGGCUUUUGAGAAGCAGACGUUGUAAUGGAAUUUGGUGUGCACGAUAUUGAUUGGAGAUCAGGGCCUGUGAAGGCAGGAAGAGAAACCAGGACUGGGCAGAGGGAGAAGUCAAACUGCCAUAGAAGCCUGAUAAAGAUUCAGCUAAAUGCAAAGGAAACCUGAGAGCCUAUACAGCUUAAUCAUUGUCCUGGCCUAGAUGGCCAGGCUGCUAUAUCUACAUCCUGAGCAGUCACUGGGUGUGGCCCAGCCUGGACUGGAAUGUUCUUGAAAGAGGCAGCUCUCUGAAGCUGAAGCCAACCCUGAAGAAGCUGAUGGCUCCCAGUAGUUGGAACAACAAAUCAUUUCUUUAAGGGAAAUCUGGAUAGUACAUUUUUGUUUUACCACAUUCAUCUCUCCUAGUAAAGAUUUUUGUGAUUAAAUUGUGAUAAAGAUUUCACAAUUUUAUGAGACAGAUAAUCACGUAAUGGUUGAUCAAGUAAUCCUCAUGCUUCAUAUGGUAUGAACUGGAACUCCUUGGUGGUAUUCACCUGUUAGCUGAUCAGCUCUGCAAGGUUCAAGAUAGAUUCAUCCACAUUCACCCUGCCUGAUGCCUUGAUACAAGAAAGGCUAGACUCACCUAGCCUCCUCUUUUUCCCUAGGUAAUUUCAAGGUCUCUCCAGGAGAGUGGUCAGAUCCUUGCACUUUGACUCAAGACAUCAAAAGAAAGAAAAUGGAAAUUGGCCUAGUGUCAUUUCCGUCAAAGCAAUCAUAAAACUGCCCAUAUUCAAGAAUUGGAAACAUAGACUUCCUCCCUUAAUACACACACAUAUCUAAAUAGAGAAAUAUUUAAUAAACUGUGUCCAUCUUUAAUGUCAAAGAUUUUCACCCUACAACUCCAAAUCGUGCUAUCUUUGUCCCCAGUAUGCUGAGCCCUCUCCCCCAUAACCUGAUUUUUGGCUUCCAC